Molecule: long non-coding RNA, 1223 nt
Filed under: Homo sapiens (human)
Lineage: Eukaryota; Metazoa; Chordata; Mammalia; Primates; Hominidae
Description: long non-coding RNA NONHSAT152180.1
Source: RNAcentral
GCCUGGAGGUAGAGGGAGGAGAAAUGAGAACAACUCAGGCCGGUGGCCAAGGUGAGGCCUGCGGGUAGGGGGCGCAGUGCCUGGCACACGAAUGGCACUUAAUUUUCUGAAUAAAUAACUGAUUACUUGGUUCAUCUCUGGGAACAUUGAGUUUGCUAUUGAGUUGCCCCAUCAAACUCUUGGUCCACAGGUCAAUCCCCAGCUUCAAUAUCUCACCCCACGAUCGACCUCUUUCGCUGAAGUCAGGAGUGACAGCAAUUAACUCCUCCGCUGCACCGUCCCCAGGGCCAGAUGCCACGUGAGAGACCCCAGGCUGGAGCGAGAACUGCAAAUGUUCACAGUUCCAAGGGACCGCGGGGGAAAUUUACACCUCCUCCCCCUACUGCUUGUGCUUCCUUUCGCUUUGAAGUUCUGUGGCUCCGCACUGGAGUUGGGGAGGCAAGUCCUCCAGCCUCGGGCUUUUAAUAUUCACAUCACGUCCUCUUUGCAGCUACUUUGGGAGGAUUGAAAGCUACAAAGGACGUUUGGGUGACCUCCCCACAACACAAGGUGGGGUGGGGGGUUUCAACCCACACUGCCCCAUCUUGAAUCGCCAUGGAUGACCAAGUAGUUGAAACACGACGGGGGACUUAGGUGCCAGUCCUUCUAGGCAGAAGGGCCCUCUUGGGUUUUCAAUGAAAGGAAGAGUGUGAGGCAUUAAGAAGCCUGAGGAAGAGAGGAGAGAGGGGCUAGGGGCUCCCGCCUGGGAACAGGGAACUGCAAGAGGGCCUGUUCAGUGCUUUGGCCUAACUCGAAGUGGUGCCGCUAAGGUGACUGGUGUCCUGGUUUCCACCGGUCAUGGUUUGAUGAGCAUUUCUUCGAAGAUGUGAACUGCCUACCCCAACGGCCCAGCUCUUGGCCCAACAGUCUACACCACGCUCAAGAUUGUCAAGAGGUCAUUGUGCUUGUUGGAUGGCUAGUUAACUCUUUACUCACCACUUCUUCCCUGACCCUCUUCUUGUAAAUUUCUAAAACUAGCAAUACAAGAUUCAAAUCUAAAUCAUCAUACAGAACUGCAUGUUGGGCAGAAUAAUGGCCUCCAAAGUAUCCAUGUCCUAAUCUCCAGAACCUGUAAACAUGUUACCUUUCUUGGCAAAAGGGAAUUAAAUUUGCAGAUAAAAUUAAGGUUGCUAAUCGCCUGACCUUAAAGUAGAGAAACCAGCCUGGAUUAUCUAGGUGGGCCC